GACGAACGCUGGCGGCGUGCUUAACACAUGCCAGUCGAACGGAAAGGCCCUCUUGCAGGGUACUCGAGUGGCGAACGGGUGAGUAACACGUGGGUGAUCUGCCCUGCACUUCGGGAUAAGCCUGGGAAACUGGGUCUAAUACCGGAUAGGAGCCAUUUUUAGUGUGAUGGUUGGAAAGUUUUUUCGGUGUAGGAUGAGCUCGCGGCCUAUCAGCUUGUUGGUGGGGUAAUGGCCUACCAAGGCGGCGACGGGUAGCCGGCCUGAGAGGGUGGACGGCCACAUUGGGACUGAGAUACGGCCCAGACUCCUACGGGAGGCAGCAGUGGGGAAUAUUGCACAAUGGGCGCAAGCCUGAUGCAGCGACGCCGCGUGGGGGAUGACGGCCUUCGGGUUGUAAACUCCUUUCGCUAGGGACGAAGCUUUUUGUGACGGUACCUAGAUAAGAAGCACCGGCUAACUACGUG
This 464-nucleotide ribosomal RNA is filed under the name uncultured bacterium. RNAcentral's name for it is "partial 16S ribosomal RNA". It matches the Rfam family "Bacterial small subunit ribosomal RNA", at positions 28 to 507 of the family's 1533-position model. The record is from RNAcentral.